This 253-nucleotide ribosomal RNA is filed under the name uncultured bacterium. RNAcentral's name for it is "partial 16S ribosomal RNA". It matches the Rfam family "Bacterial small subunit ribosomal RNA", at positions 524 to 776 of the family's 1533-position model. The record is from RNAcentral.
UACGUAGGGUGCGAGCGUUGUCCGGAAUUAUUGGGCGUAAAGAGCUCGUAGGCGGUUUGUCGCGUCUGCUGUGAAAGCCCGGGGCUCAACCCCGGGUCUGCAGUGGGUACGGGCAGACUGGAGUGCAGUAGGGGAGACUGGAAUUCCUGGUGUAGCGGUGAAAUGCGCAGAUAUCAGGAGGAACACCGAUGGCGAAGGCAGGUCUCUGGGCUGUAACUGACGCUGAGGAGCGAAAGCAUGGGGAGCGAACAGG